CGUAUAUUAAAGUUGUUGCAGUUAAAAAGCUCGUAGUUGGAUUUCUGGUGUGAGCGUCUUGCCGGCCCAAACGGGUCUGUGCAGGCACGCCUCUCGCCAUCCUUGCGUCUAACUUGUCUGGCAUUAAGUUGUCGGGCUUGGGAAGCGCAUCGUUUACUGUGAAAAAAUUAGAGUGUUCAAAGCAGGCUUACGCCGUUGAAUACAUUAGCAUGGAAUAAUAAGAUAGGACCUUGGUGCUAUUUUGUUGGUUUGCGUACCGAGGUAAUGAUUAAUAGGGACAGUUGGGGGUAUUUGUAUUCCAUUGUCAGAGGUGAAAUUCUUGGAUUUAUGGAAGACAAACUACUGCGAAAGCAUUUACCAAGGAUGUUUUCAUUAAUCAAGAACGAAAGUUAGGGGAUCGAAGAUGAUUAGAUACCAUCGUAGUCUUAACCAUAAACUAUGCCGACUAGGGAUUGGCGGUCGUUUUAUUGACUCCGUCAGCACCUUAUGAGAAAUCAAAGUCUUUGGGUUCCGGGGGGAGUAUGGUCGCAAGGCUGAAACUUAAAGAA
This 548-nucleotide ribosomal RNA is filed under the name uncultured marine picoplankton. Its description in RNAcentral is "SSU rRNA". It matches the Rfam family "Eukaryotic small subunit ribosomal RNA", at positions 598 to 1151 of the family's 1831-position model. The record is from RNAcentral.